UACGGGAGGCAGCAGUGGGGAAUAUUGCACAAUGGGCGAAAGCCUGAUGCAGCUAUGCCGCGUGUAUGAAGAAGGCCUUAGGGUUGUAAAGUACUUUCAUCGGGGAGGAAAACAAAACUAAUAAUUUUAUUUCUUGACGUUACCCGAAAAAGAAGCACCGGCUAACUCCGUGCCAGCAGCCGCGGUAAUACGGAGGGUGCUAGCGUUAAUCAGAAUUACUGGGCGUAAAGAGCACGUAGGUGGUUUUUUUAAGUCAGAUGUGAAAUCCCUGGGCUUAACCUAGGAACUGCAUUUUGAAACUGAAAUACUAGAGUAUCGUAGAGGGAGGUAGAAUUCUAGGUGUAGCGGUGAAAUGCGUAGAUAUCUGGAGGAAUACCUGUGGCGAAAGCGGCCUCCUAAACGAAUACUGACACUGAGUGCGAAAGCGUGGGGAGCAAACAGGGAUUAGAUACC
Molecule: ribosomal RNA, 453 nt
Filed under: uncultured bacterium
Lineage: Bacteria
Description: bacterial SSU rRNA
Rfam family: Bacterial small subunit ribosomal RNA
Source: RNAcentral